This 246-nucleotide ribosomal RNA is filed under the name uncultured Spirochaeta sp. Its description in RNAcentral is "partial 16S ribosomal RNA". It matches the Rfam family "Bacterial small subunit ribosomal RNA", at positions 1139 to 1382 of the family's 1533-position model. The record is from RNAcentral. Lineage: Bacteria; Pseudomonadati; Spirochaetota; Spirochaetia; Spirochaetales; Spirochaetaceae.
UCAGAUGGAACUGCCGGUGACAAACCGGAGGAAGGUGGGGACGACGUCAAGUCAUCAUGGCCCUUACUGUCCUGGGCUACACACGUGCUACAAUGGCCGGUACAGAGCGCAGCGAAGCCGCGAGGCAAAGCGAAUCGCAAAAAGACCGGUCUCAGUACGGAUUGGAGUCUGAAACUCGACUCCAUGAAGUUGGAAUCGCUAGUAAUCGCGCAUCAGCAUGGCGCGGUGAAUACGUUCCCGGGCCUU